CGCGGCCUAUCAGCUUGUUGGUGGGGUAACGGCCUACCAAGGCAACGACGGGUAGCUGGCGUGAGAGCGUGGCCAGCCACACUGGGACUGAGAUACGGCCCAGACUCCUACGGGAGGCAGCAGUGGGGAAUCUUGCACAAUGGGCGAAAGCCUGAUGCAGCGACGCCGCGUGAGGGAUGAAGGCCCUAGGGUUGUAAACCUCUUUCAGCAGGGACGAAGCGAAAGUGACGGUACCUGCAGAAGAAGCACCGGCUAACUACGUGCCAGCAGCCGCGGUAAUACGUAGGGUGCGAGCGUUGUCCGGAAUUAUUGGGCGUAAAGAGCUCGUAGGCGGCUUGUCGCGUCGGAUGUGAAAGCCCGGGGCUUAACCCCGGGUCUGCAUUCGAUACGGGCAGGCUAGAGUUCGGUAGGGGAGAUCGGAAUUCCUGGUGUAGCGGUGAAAUGCGCAGAUAUCAGGAGGAGCACCGGUGGCGAAGGCGGGUCUCUGGGCCUGACCUGACGCUGAGGAGCGAAAGCGUGGGUAGCGAACAGGAUUAGAUACCCUGGUAGUCCAUGCUGUAAACGUUGGGCGCUAGGUGUGGGGACUUUCCACGGUUUCCGUGCCGUAGCUAACGCAUUAAGCGCCCCGCCUGGGGAGUACGG
Molecule: ribosomal RNA, 642 nt
Filed under: uncultured Actinomycetes bacterium
Lineage: Bacteria; Bacillati; Actinomycetota; Actinomycetes
Description: bacterial SSU rRNA
Rfam family: Bacterial small subunit ribosomal RNA
Source: RNAcentral